GAUUUUCUAACUAACUAUGUUUUUGAUUUUCACAGUACUCUUAAUUUUGAGCUAUUUACUGAUUUACCAACUGCAGCUAGGAGACCUUUAAACAUGGAUAAAAUGCAUCUGCCAAGCUUCAGAUUUAAGACAGUAAUUCCAAGGGAGCCAGAUUAAAGCAUGCAAUUCAUAAGUCCAAAUGUAGCAACACUGAAAGCUGCAGAUCAUUGUUGACAGGAAUAUCAAGGUAGAGCCUGUUGGAAGAAUCUCCUUAGUGAUAGAGGAUAAGUACAGAUAAACUGUCAUAUUCAAAUAUUUUCAUAUUCAAGUUCAGGAGACUCAGAUUAUAGACAGCUUUGGCUAGCAUAAAAAGUCUGAUGUUGCACAAUUGCAAGUUGGAAGGAUACUUCUUUUGGCAUUUGAUUACAUAGUACCUGGUGAGAGCUUGAGGUGACUGAAAUGGAAUCAAGCCAAGGCUUGAAAUGGUCAUGCAUUCAUUAGGCUAGAUAUAGCUACUUAGGAUGUUUUACCUUUGAUUUCUAGGCACUUUUGGCCUUGUAACCUUUUUUACUUUUGUUUUUUUGCUUUCUUUCCAAUUCUGUACAUAACUUUUUUAAUAAAAUUCACAACUAUGCCUAGUUCUA
Molecule: long non-coding RNA, 623 nt
Organism: Lycium ferocissimum
Lineage: Eukaryota; Viridiplantae; Streptophyta; Magnoliopsida; Solanales; Solanaceae
Exons: 2
Source: RefSeq, a predicted model, not a curated record